CUAGGUCUUGUCCCUGACACCUUCACUUGCCCAGCAGAGAAAAGCUGCAGGCGCCCAAAGAGUUGCAAAUAGAGACCUUGCAGGCUGGUCCUUUGCUAAUGCCAUCCUCAAGACAGCAUUGAGUGUGGAUGGAAAGGACUGCAGAGCAGAGAGUUGUUGUGGGGGUCACCUCCUGGGGCUUUCCCAGAUGUCCCACUAUAUGAAAUGCCAUCCUCCUCUCAUCCAUUUCUUUGUGUCUUCCUUACCUUACAGGGAGUGGGAAGUUUUGAAAAGCCAUGUGAGCACAGAGGGGAGAAGUUCUUAGCAGGGGGUGUGCAAUGAAGAAUUUUCUCUCGGUUCUACAGACCUCUGUUGCCUCUCUGACUCUACCCUUCCCACACCGCAGCGCCCAGCCCUGGGCAAGAUGGAACCUGGGACCCAAAAUCUGGCCAGCACAGAGCCCAAAACACACCAGGGCAUCCAUUAUAUGAUAUCAGAAGAGCCUUUACAAACUGUGGAGUGGGACCUGGCGGAAAGAAGCACAGUUCACCUCCAUGGAGGUGGCAAAGGUCUGGGACUGAAGCAGUGAGAGACUCCACUAAUGAAUUCUACUAAUGUGCAAAACCCUGCAUGACAAAGAAGCCCUUGAUCUUCUUCCACACCCUUCCUUUCUUCUAGCCCCUGUAAGGUUUCCAGCUGUAGCUGAGGAUCCAUCUGGGAUGGACAGCACAACUCAGAAGGUGGCAAAAAGUGUGUACUCCUGAAGCGAGACAGAUGGUGAAAAGUGAUGCUCCUGAGAUCCCAUGAAGCAGCCGCACAACAGUCCAGCUCUGCUCAGCAGAGCCACCUCUCCCUGGUGAAGCCGGUGCGGUGCAGAGAUCAAAGCCAAGUCUUCUCCUUCAUGACUUUCCUGUUCCAGAGAAAGUGCUCGACAUGACAGCUGUCUUUGGGAAGAGCCUCCUUUUGCAAAGAGUGAUAGAAGAUGAGAAUUUUGGAUGCCAUUCUGGUUCUCUUAUUUAAAUUUAAAUACACACUAAAUGCCUUCUGAUUGUGGAGAGGUCAUUUGAACACACACACUACAUACCAUCAUCUUUUCUUUUUUUGUGUGUGUAAAAGUUAAAAAACUGAAAGCAGAAAAAUCAACACAAACACAAGAUCCAAAUGCGGUGUAUAAUCCUCCUCUUAUCUGCAUGCCAUUGCUCAAAACAAAUGCAUUAAUGUAUUUUAUGUUUCAUGGUUAUGAGUUGCCCUGAGGAUAAUCAAAUCAAAAUCAAAUGCACCUGCAGAAGAUAAGGUCGCUGAUACAGUUUCCCACCCUUUCCCACUCUGGCUGCUAGUUUCACUGCAAUCACAUUUAUUACUCUCUCUCAGUGUCAUUACUGUUCCUUUAAACAUUUCUUUUCCAUAUGGAUAGAUUAAGUAUAUUUUUUUUUAAGCUGUAUGCUCUGGGGAAAUGAGACUUGCUGACAAAGCUGGAAGUUAUAUAUAUGAUCGUAUGAGUGAGAAACAGCAGGGAGAACUGGAUCACAGUCUCCCAAAGGGAGGAGAGUUCCUCCGAGCAUGGUCUAUUCCAGUGCCCCUCUCUCCACCUCGCCUGCCCCUUAAUCAAGCGAUCAUAUCGACCCCCUCGCUCGUUUCAAUGGGGGAAAAUUUGCAGACAAAUUCCUGCCAGCGGGACGUUGGAGCUCUCCUGGGUGGUGGGAUGAAGAUACCUGUCACCUCCUCACGGCCCCGCCGCCGCUCACGCUGCGAGCGCGGCUGGGGAGCCCGGUGCUGGCUGCGGGGCUGGUCACUGCCAAAUCCCCGUCAGAAAGUGAAAUAAGACCCAGCUCCCCAAUGGCUCGGCAGAGCCAUUGACCAAGGCAAACAACUGUGUAAGUGGUCCCAUAUGCUGUAGGUACAUUAGAGGGACAUAAAUUGUACUUUGUGCUCACGGUGGUGGCAGGUUGCCCCUGCUGUGGAAUUGCUCUCGCCUUUUAUUUAUUAGAGGGGCAGCUACUCUUCCCAAAAGAUGUGAGAGUGACACCGCAGGUCUGAAAACAGGAUCUUAUCCAGCUGAUUUUCCUGUAAGAAAUAUUUGAAGUGAUGCAAACACCAAUGUUUUGGGUGGUGGGUGCUGUUGUUGUGGGUACCUGCCGGGCAGCAGCUCUCUCCUCCAGUCUUUGUCCCUCCACCGCUCCCACAUCACCAAAUGAAGAUUAUAUGGGCAAGGAUAAACAAAGAGCCUGUUCAUACGAGGGAAGUUUUAGGGGCAGAAAGGACUGAAAGGCUCAAGAUACGGCAAGGCUUAAUGCCGUAAAUCUGAUUAAUUUACCUUGUGACAAUUGCAACAAAAAAGCAAAGGCUGGGAGCCAGGACUGUGGGCUGACCUUUUGCUCACAGUGAAAGGCGGCACAAUAGGGGCUGGGGCUGGUCAGGGGAAUGACCCUGCCUGUCACUGCUACCUGCUGCUUCCGACAAUGCCAUCGGACACAGCUCUCAGCGCAAUGAAAAACACCUUCCCGCCAAAGGCCCCUUUCUCCCCCAGCCCUGGAUGGGGCCAGCCCAAGGGUGUUUGGCUUGGGCUGCGCUGCUCUGCUCAGCGUGUAAAUGGGCAUCGCUCACCAGCGUUAAUAUCCACCAGGCAAAGCGCCCCUGGGAAAUUCAGUAUCAGCCCGUGCAUGACCACCCGUAUGGCCGCUGCCUGUGCAGGAGGCGUGGGAGGACUGAGCUGAGCUGCCCAGCAAACGGGGAAAAGCUUGUGAGGGGUUUUGCCCCACCACUGCACAGUGCAGAGCUGAAACCCCAGCCUGUGGGGUGGGAUGAACCUCUGUGCACAGGAGCCGCUGCACCAGGGAUUACCCCGGCCAUAUCUGAAGGCAGCAGCUGUGGGAAAGAGUUUUUCCAUGCAUCCCCUGGAGAGCAUCUUGCUUGGUGCCCUCUCACUGCCCAAUGAGCACAGGAUUUAUUCCUCUCCUCCCCCUCCCUAACCAUGCUCUAAAGCACAUGAGGAGAGUGUGCAUUUCCUUCAGCAGCAGCAGCACAUAGCAGUGGGAACAUCUGGCUCAGAGGCAUCCCAGAAUAGGAAGCAGGCUUAAGUUUCGCUCAACAGAAAUUUAUUUAUCUGAGGAAUUAACCUUUGUGUUCAAUACUUGUUCUCCAGACUUGUCUUUGUCUCCAGCACCUGCUUUGCCCUGAGGAGCAGCCAUUCCCUCCAGGUACCACUUCUUGCUUGAUUGAAAAGGGGCUGGAGAGAACUUCAGGUGGGGAACAGAAGAUCUUUGUGUGCCCCUGCACCCCAGGCAGUGCCUGGCUGUGCCCAGCAUCCUCCCGGCCCCACUCCCUGUCAGGAAAGCAAGACAGAGUGGUCUUGUACCCCCGACAUCUCAAGAUCUCUUCUUUACACUGUGACAAUUUGGCUUGUUUCCACAGAGUCACUAUCACGAGGAAAUUUUGGGGGGUUUCACCAUUUAUUUUAGUUCCAUUAGCAUUUAAAAGAUGAAAAACUUAAAAAGCAGGUGAAAAAUAACUCUACAUCUUAAUCGGAUCAUAUACCACUCAGGCAAUGAUUUUAAAUGCCUUAGCCAGUAUCUCCUGGUAUGCAUCAAAAAUAAACAGUUAAUAAAGGUGUUUUGACUGGAACAUCUGCUGCAAUUUUUAGUUGUGGAGGCUUAAUUGCAGACUAGAGUAUCAAACUUUCAGAGGGUUUGAGGACAGAGAUUGAUUUGGGUCACCAGGUUAUUUGGAAUAAAAUCCCAACCCUUAUCUCUCAAAUGCAGUGUCCAAUUGAUUUUCUCUGGACCAUUACCCACCGCACACUGCCACGAAGCCCAGGAGGGGAGUGGCAGAACAUCACGCUUCUCAAAACCCUUUUGAAGCAAACUACUGCAGUUCUUUGAGAGCUUUUUGGAAGGGACAGCUUUUCCCCAGAAGGACUGAUGAAUAGGUGACAAAACCAUCGUGACAAAGGCUCUGCCAUUUUCUAAACUCGGGCUGUAUCCAGAGAGGUGUUGCUACCCCCAGGACUGCACUUGCAAAGCACCCGGUCACAUGUGAUGGGCCUGGGUGAUUAAAAACACCAACUGCGGUUCAGACAAACCCAGCACUUCUAUACAAACUGCUGAAUUCCAUUUAUUCCAGCAUUUCAGUCUGUAAAACUGGGAAGAGCUUCGGUCUGUGAGCAGAGCUGGCAAAGGUGGGGAUGCGUGUGGUGCAAUUUGCUUAACAGCAAAAUACUUUCAGGUGAAAGAGAGCUCUUCACACCAAAGCUGUGGUUCACUACCCACUAAGUCCCAGGCAGCUUGGAUUUGCCAAUCAAAUCACUUUUAAUCAAAUUGCCAACACCAGUCCUGGUUGCCUUCCCCAACACAGCCUGGAGCUUUGCUGCCUUGGGAAAGCAGACUUCAGCAGUCAAGCCAGCCCUGUCUCCUCACUGUGAAAUCUCAGGCUUUCUGGCAUCCUCCUUUGGUUGAUGAGGAUUUCCCCCACCUCCUGGUGGAAGCAAGCUGGGGUGCAGCCUCCCAGGGACAGGCAAAGGGUCGGCUGCUGGAGGUGAGAGCAGCACAGGAUUGACACCAACGUUGAACACAGACAGCUGUUUUCAGCCUUCCAGUGGUUUCUCUGUGAAACUCCUCUUUCCCACGCAUCAUGUCUAUCCGCAGGUUGCACAGAAUACGUUGAGCUCUACAAGCCUCGCUCUAGAAUGCUCAUUUCUGCCUUCAAAUAUUUUUUGUGAUUCUCUUGGUACUCGCCUGUGUUUCAGCACACUGUGAGCAUCCAAAGAUGGUAAGUACUUUCCCAGGACUGCUCUCUCCUUGCAGUCCCAGAACCUCCAAGGUGUUUAGCCACAGUAGCAUCACUCUGUUGGAGCCAAAUCCUUCCAAGAACCAGAAAGUCUUCAGUCUUCACCCUGAGCCCUCUCCUUGCCUCAACUCCCCAUCUCUAGCAUGUAGCAUUGUCUUAAAUAUUUAUCCCCCGCUCUCACUGGCAUGCUUGAAAGCUGAAUUCAUAAUUAAAUAUUAGCUCCUCUUUAAAGGCCAGUUGUUAGUCAAAGGCAUUGGAAUACUUUGCCCUCUGCAUCUGUUUCUGGCAAGCUGAUGCCCUGAAUAAACUAAGCAGAGCCUGCUAGUGGUGGUCAAUGAUGCACAGAGCAUUUCCUCAGCGCAUCCCCUGGUAUCUGCCCUGCUGCCUGUGGCAAAUGCGGACUCCUGCUCCACAACCCAGACCUGGGUUUCAGAACCCCCUUGGACAGCAUUGCUGGGGUCUCCAGGGUAUCCUGGACUAAGCCUGAAACUGCUCCUGUUCUUUGAAGAUGCAAAGUGCCCUUGCUGACAAUCCCCAGCCUUUGAGACCGCAGAACAGAGCUGGAAACCUGGUGAGAUAAAGCUACUUUGUGAUCAUCAGUGCCUUUGUUAUGCACCGAGGCUGCCAACACAAUUGCAAUAUCCCUUAUCAAGUGCUUAGCCCAACCUGCCUGGGAAAGCCUUGGGAGGUGAGGGACAUGGCUGACAGACCAUUCCGUAGCCCUGAAAAUGGAAAACCUAAAACCAAGCAAGCCCCAAGAAUAUAUAGAAUAUAUAGAAUAUUAAUUUUGCACUAUAGAAUAUGACUUUUGCACCUAUCAUCUGCUUUUGCUUCCUGAUCUACAUCUUCUACCCCAAGCUCGGUUCACGUUUGCUCAGCACUUCUGCUUAUCCUGAUGUUAAUUAUUCCUGGAAAUGGCAACCUCUCUCCAAGGUUACUGUCACCAUCUCUGCUAAGAAACCCAGGAGCCCAGGUCUGGUCUCUGGAGUGAUGUUUGGAGCAGUAGCUACAUCUGACUGCAAUGGUAUUUCAUUCUGAGCAAAAAAAAAAGGACCCUUCAACUUGUUUUCUCCCCCCCCCACCCCUCUCCUGGAGGAGAUAUUUGCCAAGACUCACAGAUGGGAUCAUUUACAGUUUCCUUUUGAGCUGCCUUGGCCCUUUCAGGUUUUGUUUAUCUGAGCUGGGCUCUCAAACAGAGGAGGGUGGGAUGGAGAAGGCCUCUCUGCCGUAUUCCGAUUUGGACUGAGGUUGCUCAAGUUCCCCAUCUGACAGAAGAUGAUUGAUGAGAGCAAUGCUGGCUGUAAAACUGGCAGGGUUUGGAGACCCAGCAACUCUGCUCUUUGCAGGGCCUUAAAUCCCAGUUGUCAGAGCAAUCCGGGGAAUGGCAUCCCGGGGUAAUUACACACCAACAACAGGAAAAGCCAUUGGAAAUAGCAGGCACUCCGGAGCUGGUUGCAGUGGGACAGCUAGAGGGGAUUUUGGGGUUUUUUUUUGUUUGCUUUGUGAAAACACGAACACAUGGUCUUGAGCUGAGACUGAAACAUGCUUACAAAAAGCAGGGUCUAGAGAGGAUGGGAUGAUGUGCAGCCUGGAAAGCUGCUGGAAGAGCCUGGGAGCUCCACAGAGAGGAGGAAGUCAUUGCUACAUGCAAAAUCUUCGGAAGUUAUCCCCGUGGCAAUGGGCGAAAUACACACUUGUUAAGAGCAGUAGCUCUUGAUCAAUGAAACCAGUAGUGACAGCACUGGUACCCCCGAUGGCCAGAGCUCCCUGCAGCCUCCUGUCCUGCAAACAGCUCUCAUUGUACAAGUGUCAGCCUCAGUUUCCCCAAAACAAGGCUUGGAGGAAAAGGCCUCCAGGAGAGGAGGAGAUCCCUGUUCAACUCUUCGGCCCUGGCAAUGAGGAUGGGAGGCAUGGGGGAAUGCCACUGCAGAUGAGCCAGGAUGGUGGUAUGACUUGAUCAGCAAAGGUCUUCAGGGGAUGCUUACAGGAAAGCUUAACUUUGGUCUGGCACAUGUGCUAGGAGUUGCUUUCAGCCAAAAAGAUUCAGCAGCGUCUUUUGUCAAGCCUUAUUUGAGUACGGUUGUGCUCCCAAGCCACCAAGGGGUUGAAAGGUGUGCAAGGGCUGUACGAGAUGGGGGUGCCUGUGCCCACACUGAUAGCUACUGUAUUGUGUACUGGGUCACCAGUUUCUCCAGAUGGAGAGUGGCUGACAUGGACUGGCACUGUUUUCCAUUGCUGCUGCUGAACAGACCUGUCCUGGUGUUAGACUUGCUGAGCUACAGGCUGCAUGACCUGGGUUCAGUCUCCAAGAGCUUUAUUCAAAGCUGUAAACACCCUGAAGCCUUUAGACUGGAGAUUUAACAAAACCAGGAGAGCUGAGCUGAAAGAAAGCAGCCAGGGGUGAAGCAAGGCCCUAAACUAGAUGCACUUAGAGUAGCUGUUCCAGUUAGACAGGAUGAUUCCAUGGGUCUGGGAUGAGAAGGAGGGGAUUUCCCCUCCCUCUGCCUGUGCUGCUGGUUUAAAUCCAACCACAACUGAGCAGUAAAUAAGAGUUACUGCCUGGCAGCUGCCAGGUGACCUGUGUGCAGUCAGUGAGUGCUGGCCACACAGCCCUGCAGACAUCAGCAGCGGAGGAAAUCUGGAUUGGAAAGUAUAUUUUCUUUGGGAAUGUGCUCUUGUUUGGGUGAGCCCUGCAGUGCUCCCUGCACCCCAGCACUGCAGAGGCAUCCCGGGAUGCAGUGAUGCCACACACCAGCACUGCAGAGGCAUCCCAGGAUGCAGUGAUGCUGCAUCCCAGCACUGCAGAGGCAUCCUGGGAUGCAGUGAUGCCACACACCAGCACUGCAGAGGCAUCCCGGGAUGUAGUUCUGCCAUCCAGCACAACAGCAAGUGUUUGCACGUCUGCUCAGCAGUCAGGAUACAUGGGGCCAGCGGCAGAGCAGCAUCAGUGGGACUGCGCAACUGAAAGAGCUGUGGUUAAAAGGGAACCUUGCAACACUGCUGAGCAAUCUGUAAUCAGCAAAAGAGUGGUGGUGCUGUGGCUGGUCAUAACUGCUUUGGUGGCAGUUGGGUUUCUCCUGUGAGGCAGAGUAAAUGUUUCAAUACAGGGAGGAUGGUAAAUAUCUGACAGUUCCCUGGUGUCUCGCAGACCUGAACGACAGAGGGGGAUUUGAGGAGAUAUUCGAAGGGCAGAGCAGAUUUUUUAUAAGGAACUUCCUCUCCUGGACAGAUGGGACAAAAGGGGACAAAGCCAAGCAAAAACACAUGGCUGCUUAUUUACCACUUAUAUUCAGGAGAGCUGAGCCAUACACACCUCCCACUGUGCCGAGGCUGCACAAACACAUGAGGAGACUCAGGUCCUGCCCCAGAGCUUCCAGUCUAAGAUGAGGAAUUAAAACAAAACAAAACAAAACCCACAAACCACCAAACUCAGAGGAGUAGCAGCUUUGAAAUCUCUCUGCAGAUCUCCAUCUGGUAAAAGAAGUGCAGACAGGGGCAUGUUCUCUCCACAUCAGCUGCACAGCGAGAGCGGCUUAGAUGAACUCUCCUGGCUGGUAAUAAAAUGAUUUUACAUAUGUAGGAAGCAGGAUGUGCAAAGCCCAGGAGUCUGAUCUUGUUUCUGAGAUCAAACAGAGUCUUAUUGUACAGGGGUGUGGAGCUGAUGUAACUGUCUAGUGUGCCGGACACAAUCGCCGUGGUUACGCAGCUGGACCGGAAUAAAGCAAGUCUGUAUCUGAACUCAUUAAUUUUUACAACCAA
Long non-coding RNA from Columba livia (rock pigeon), 8520 nucleotides. RefSeq lists it as uncharacterized. The record is from RefSeq and is a predicted model, not a curated record. Lineage: Eukaryota; Metazoa; Chordata; Aves; Columbiformes; Columbidae. The transcript is spliced from 6 exons.